Molecule: unclassified non-coding RNA, 204 nt
Filed under: Hevea brasiliensis (rubber tree)
Lineage: Eukaryota; Viridiplantae; Streptophyta; Magnoliopsida; Malpighiales; Euphorbiaceae
Source: RNAcentral
UGUAAAAUCCCUUUUCCCUGAUCAACAUACCUGGAAAGGAGAGACACAAGUUCAUUGCGGUGAGCGGAGAGUGUAUCCUCGACACGUUCUCUAACGCUGGGGCUACGAGCAAACUUCUUGGGAGUGGCGGCCAUGGAAAAAGCUUGAAAACUCAGUCAAUGGAGAUACAGAAAGCUCCAAAGGAAGAUACAACAUGAAGCAAAA